GCUGAGCCGCGGCCGGGCAGGGCGGAGGGGCCGCGGGCGCAUCCCCCAGCACCUCUCAGCCAGCGGCUAAAGAAGAUCUGCAAAGAAUGGCAAAGAAGAUUUUCGAUUAAAACCUUAGCCCAUCUCCACGGAUUACUUUAUAUCGAUUCCUAUAUAUAUGGCUGCAAUUGAGGGGCUCUAAUUAAAAAUCCAAAGGGGGGGGGGGGGGGCGAAAGGGAAAAAAAAAUAAAAGUUCUUUCUGGGUCUCAAUAAAAGGAGCUUUUCAUAUACGGGAAAUAAAGGUUGUAAAAGGUUACAAACGAAAGACUA
Molecule: long non-coding RNA, 309 nt
Organism: Corvus hawaiiensis (hawaiian crow)
Lineage: Eukaryota; Metazoa; Chordata; Aves; Passeriformes; Corvidae
Exons: 2
Source: RefSeq, a predicted model, not a curated record